GCGCUCGUAGCUCAGUGGAUAAGAGUAGUGGCUGCCGAAGCCAUUGGUCGGGGGUUCGAAUCCCUCCGGGCGCGCCA
This 77-nucleotide transfer RNA is filed under the name Xylella fastidiosa subsp. multiplex. RNAcentral describes it as "tRNA-Arg". It matches the Rfam family "tRNA". From Rfam's summary of the family: Transfer RNA (tRNA) molecules are approximately 80 nucleotides in length. Their secondary structure includes four short double-helical elements and three loops (D, anti-codon, and T loops). Lineage: Bacteria; Pseudomonadati; Pseudomonadota; Gammaproteobacteria; Lysobacterales; Lysobacteraceae. The record is from RNAcentral.